Vespa mandarinia (Asian giant hornet) is the source of this 688-nucleotide long non-coding RNA. The record is from RefSeq and is a predicted model, not a curated record. Lineage: Eukaryota; Metazoa; Arthropoda; Insecta; Hymenoptera; Vespidae.
GCGAAAAGAAGGGUAACGCGAUAUCGUGCGAUCCCCCGUUGAGAUUCUCGCCAAUGCGAUCCCGAAGGACGGAGACAUUGCGAUGAAUCAUAGGAAGAAAAUGAUCUCUACGCGCUGCCGACGGCAUCUUAAACCCAACCCUUUCUCUAACUCUGUCGUUUCGCGAUGGAAAGCAAGAACGGAUGCAGAAUUUACAAAUGCCAACGGACUCUGGCGAAAUCCAGAGCGAUUACUCGGAAAAUGAAAGCAGGUGCCGUACAGUCUCUCGCUGGCACUCUCCUGCUAUCUCUUAUCAAUAAUCUUCCUUGCUAACUGGAACGAUGUGAACGAGCCAGAUGUAUCUCUUAUCGUAUCCUGAUACUUCGAAGCACACUCACGUUAAAUUUCUUCUUCGAAACGAGAUGAAUGCUUCGAUGAGAUAAUCCGAAUUCAAAGAGGAGGAAAGGUUUCCAUCGAUAAACAGCCAAUAAUACAGAUAUCCUGGUUCCUCGUUUGAGCGAGCUGAUAGUCGCGCAUCGCUGGUUUGUUAUGUUUUAAGCGAGAACGCGUAAUGUCAGGAACGCUUGACACGUGAUCGAAUUAUUAUCAUGAAAAUAUUAUAUUGAUAUUUAUAAGAGUAAUAAUAACAACAACAACAACAACAACAACAAAAACAACAAUAACAACGGAUAACGACGGCGACAACGAU